This 77-nucleotide transfer RNA is filed under the name compost metagenome. RNAcentral's name for it is "tRNA-Met". The record is from RNAcentral.
GGCGAGUUCGACUGUCUGCUGAUGUCACGAGGCUCAUAACCUCGGCUAGGAAGGUUGGAUUCCUUCACUCGCUACCA